Molecule: non-coding RNA, 141 nt
Organism: Fukomys damarensis (Damara mole-rat)
Lineage: Eukaryota; Metazoa; Chordata; Mammalia; Rodentia; Bathyergidae
Source: Ensembl
CUCCAUUGUCCCCAUUUUAGCCCCCAGUGAGCCUGCAGUAUUUUCCUUAUAUGAUCAGGCCCCAUUGUGGGUGGUGUUGCUUGCCUGGAGCCUAGAGAAUUAUGAAACAUGUCAGGUGAUGUGGGGCCAGAGGACCUGGUG